AUGCUUACGCGUGCCAGUGCAGUUCGCCGUGGGUGCUCGCCCCCUUGCGGAUGCUUGCGCGUGCCAACACAGCUCGCUGCGGGUGCUCGGCCAUGCCUGCGCGCGACAGCACAGCUCGCCCUCCCCUGCGUGUGUUGGCGCAGCUCGCCCCGCGACAUGCCUGAGAAGUGGGUGGCGCUGAACAUCAGCAUUAGUGGCAUGAUGGCAGCAGCCGCUGGAGGAGAUGGAUGCGUGUCAAGUUCUGAAGAUGUUGAAUGCAAGCAACCUCUUCUUUGUUGGAGCUGCAGUAGGCAUCCUCCUCUUUGGAGUAAGCUUCUUUGCUGGAGCUGCAGUGGGCAUCCUCUCUGGAGUUAG
This 354-nucleotide ribosomal RNA is filed under the name Triticum aestivum (bread wheat). RNAcentral describes it as "partial small subunit ribosomal RNA". The record is from RNAcentral. Lineage: Eukaryota; Viridiplantae; Streptophyta; Magnoliopsida; Poales; Poaceae.